RNAcentral lists this transfer RNA (75 nucleotides) under Marmota monax (woodchuck). RNAcentral's name for it is "tRNA.Ala". The record is from RNAcentral. Lineage: Eukaryota; Metazoa; Chordata; Mammalia; Rodentia; Sciuridae.
UUGUGGGGGUAGCUCAGAGGUAGAAUGAAUGCUUAGCAUGCAUGAGGCCCUGAGUUCCAUCCUCAGAACAGCAAA